Molecule: ribosomal RNA, 399 nt
Filed under: uncultured bacterium
Lineage: Bacteria
Description: bacterial SSU rRNA
Rfam family: Bacterial small subunit ribosomal RNA
Source: RNAcentral
GGGAUAUUGCACAAUGGGGGGAACCCUGAUGCAGCGACGCCGCGUGGGCGAUGGAGUACUUCGGUAUGUAAAGCCCUAUCAGCAGGGAAGAAAAUGACGGUACCUGACUAAGAAGCCCCGGCUAAAUACGUGCCAGCAGCCGCGGUAAUACGUAUGGGGCAAGCGUUAUCCGGAUUUAUUGGGUUUAAAGGGUGCGUAGGCGGGCUGUUAAGUCAGCGGUCAAAUGUCGGGGCUCAACCCCGGCCUGCCGUUGAAACUGGCGGCCUCGAGUGGGCGAGAAGUAUGCGGAAUGCGUGGUGUAGCGGUGAAAUGCAUAGAUAUCACGCAGAACUCCGAUUGCGAAGGCAGCAUACCGGCGCCCUACUGACGCUGAGGCACGAAAGCGUGGGUAUCGAACAG